CUAUACAGCUUCACAAACAUAGCUUCUCUCUCCAAUCAAUUCUGUCAAAAUUAUUCAAUACUUUCCUUUCUCAAAUGUAUUUCUAAUAGAAAAACCCUAAAUGUUACGUAUCAUUCAUCUUAUCUCCAAUCCAUCACCAUAUUCUCGAUUGAACACUGGCAAUCGAAAUCGAUGAAGGAAAUGUGGGGCUGUGGUGCUGCAGAUCUGGCUGGAAAAACGUUUUCAGAUCUCAAAAUCGUGUUGUUAGUGGUGGCGACAAGUGUUUUCUUUCGAUCAAUCUGUCUACGAUUAUUCAAGCCUAAUCAUGGAAGGGAUUAUUGAACCCCAAAUCAUAACCGGAGGAUCUGGAUUAGUUUGUGUGUACUGAUUACGUUAUUGGUGUUUAGAGGCUUUGAUAAGUGAUGAUCAAGAACCCUAAUUCUUUGCCCAUAUCUACAAUACUCAGUUUUUGUUUCCAUUUUGACAAUUGGAGCAAUGGUAGGGACAUUCGUGCAUGGUAAAAUAGCAGAUCGACUUAGGCGAAGAAUGGUUUCUUGGUUGCUUGAUGCUGGACCACUGUUGAUCGGAUAUGGAAUUGAGGUUCUCUCUUAUGUGGCACUUGGAAAUUCUUCUUCAUUCUGUUACUGUUAUACCAAACUUUCUGAUUCUUUGGCUCUGAUUAAUAAAACAGGUACCCGUUUACAUAGCAGAAAUAUCACCUCAAAACCUUCGCGGAGCUUUUACCACUGUUAAUAAGGUAUAUAGCAUUUUUUUAUGUGGUUCAUUCUUAUAUGUCAGAUCAAGUGUUGACAAAUGCGUUGAGCACCGCUACAACUGAUGAUAUGUGUUGGAGUAUCUGUAAUUUGGCUUAUUGGAACAUUCAUUCCUGGCGCACCCUAGCUCUAAUUGGUAAAGUUGUUCAAAUUUCUACCAAUCUUGAAGAUAUACCAAUUUGAUAAUUUGUGGAGUUGGCAAAAUGGGCUGGCUACAAGUGAUUGUUAUGUCAAAAUAUUGUUACAUUAUUUCAGUAAUAUGCAUUAAAAAUAGACUUUCCGUUCCCUUUUUACCUGCUUUUUUAUUUUAUUUUACCCAUUAGAGGUAAACAUAACCCAAAUUGACCCAAAUGGGUUGAAGCAACUCUUUAUUUAGUAUGUGCUUUCAGGAAUCAUUCUGUGUCUACUACAGGUAAUAGGCAUGUUCUUCCUAUCUGAAUCUCCUAGAUGGCUGGCAAAAAUUGGUCUGUGGGAAGAAUGCGAGUCUGCACUUCACCAGCUGUCAAAAACUAGAGUCUUUGAUUUAUUCCAACCGACAUAUGCUAAAUAUCUUAUUGUUGGAGUUGGACUUAUGGUAUUGGAGCAAUUUGGAGGCGUGAACGCAAUUGUAUUUUACGUGGAUUCUAUCUUCAUUUUUGCUGUUUUGCAGUGAGAAACAUCACCUUCAAGUAGCGGCUGCUGAGAAGAUCGACCAGCUCAUGCAAGACGCAAAUCACUCACAAAUUUGGUCUAUUUGUGGCACGCAUAUAAGAUAAACUCCAUUAGUUACUAUCUGAUUUGGAUCCAAUGCUAUAAUGUUAUCUGGAGGCCUACUACUAUAUGAAUGCACCAUGGGUUUUUCAAAAAUGGGGUUAGGGUGAAGCUGGAGGUCUUCAAAACAUAGGGCAAGGUAACGUCAAACGAAGAUGCGAGAGAGAUUGUAGCCAGACUAGAGUUGACCAACUUCUUCUUGCACCAGGACAUUUCACAGCUGCAAGGCAUACAUGAUGACAUGAGUUUCGCUCAAAACUUUCUAAAGAAGAGUCUGUAAUCCUUUUUCCAAGGUUUGUUUUGAGAAUGGAGAAUUGGGUACGUGUAACAUUUGGAAUCGAGCCAUCGGUCGAGGAAGACGGGCUUGAAAGGAUUAAAGCAUCUUGCCCGAGGCAUGCAAGCAAGUGCUAAGUUGUUGUGCUUUCUCUACUCAACAGAGGUUAAGUGUUGAGUUGUCAUUAAAAACGAUUUGGACUGCAAAAGUCAUCUAUUCAUCACCAAAAAACAGGGUUUAAACAUCACUUCAUUUUGUCCAUGCUAGCUGUGUUAGCUCAGCAACUCCGCCUCUACAAGUUGCCGGUGCUUGAUACCAUUAAAGGCUUCUCUCUUUUUCGAGUAGAUUGUACUGAAACUGUUUGUGAUCAACCACCGGAAAAGUUCAAUCCCAAUGAUGGCGAUGGUCUCUGCAUGAUUUUUACUAAAAGUUCUUAUGAGCUUUCUUCUCAUCCAGUCUGAUAUGAACCAAGCCAUGAGGAAACGUCCUCGAACGUUAUUCAACUAGAGCAUGGCAGUUAUCUGUGUCUUCUCUACC
Long non-coding RNA from Helianthus annuus (common sunflower), 2313 nucleotides. RefSeq lists it as uncharacterized. The record is from RefSeq and is a predicted model, not a curated record. The transcript is spliced from 10 exons. Lineage: Eukaryota; Viridiplantae; Streptophyta; Magnoliopsida; Asterales; Asteraceae.